Molecule: ribosomal RNA, 301 nt
Filed under: uncultured bacterium
Lineage: Bacteria
Description: partial 16S ribosomal RNA
Rfam family: Bacterial small subunit ribosomal RNA
Source: RNAcentral
CAGCAGCCGCGGUAAUACGAAGGGGGCUAGCGUUGUUCGGAUUUACUGGGCGUAAAGCGCACGUAGGCGGACUUUUAAGUCAGGGGUGAAAUCCCGGGGCUCAACCCCGGAACUGCCUUUGAUACUGGAAGUCUUGAGUAUGGUAGAGGUGAGUGGAAUUCCGAGUGUAGAGGUGAAAUUCGUAGAUAUUCGGAGGAACACCGGUGGCGAAGGCGGCUCACUGGACCAUUACUGACGCUGAGGUGCGAAAGCGUGGGGAGCAAACAGGAUUAGAGACCCCCGUAGUCCCUGUCUCUUAUAC